Dioscorea cayenensis subsp. rotundata (Guinea yam) is the source of this 491-nucleotide long non-coding RNA. RefSeq lists it as uncharacterized. The transcript has 3 exons. NCBI's taxonomy places the organism in Eukaryota, Viridiplantae, Streptophyta, Magnoliopsida, Dioscoreales, Dioscoreaceae. The record is from RefSeq and is a predicted model, not a curated record.
CUUAACUCACUUCUAUUUCAUUUAUAAAGUGAUAAGGCUUAUGUCUUUUUCAUAUCUUCUUACAGGCCACAAAACAAAGCCCCACAAUGUUGAUUGUUAUGGGAGGGUUGCAAAGCAUCCAUUUGGCAGGAAUUUUACUAGCUAAAAAAGUGGAACUUGAGUGGCUUCUUUCUCUGUGUUCAAGAGAGCAUCAGAGAAAAGCACAAAACCAACCUCCAUUUGAUCAUGUUCAAGAAAACAACCUUUCCAACACAUGAAGAGCAAGCUCCUGCUCUGCAUGAGCAUCAAGAAUGUAAUCAUUAUUUUUAUCGCUUUGGGCAUUUAAAUAUUAUGGGGCGGUUUGGAUUUGGAAUUGGGAGGGGAAUGAUACGUCAUAUGGAAGAAAUGAAAAUUAUGUUUAGUUGAAAAAAAAUAUAUUAGAAAUAAAAAUUAUAUUUAGUUAAAAAAAAGUAUAUCAGAAAUGAGAAAGGUGAAAUGAGAAAAGUGAAAGC